GAACUCCAAUGGCGUCUGAGUCAGCACACCCACAGCAGGCCACAACAAUGGCCGCCGCCAAUGUCCCAGUCCCUGGAGAGGUCUCACCUCUCACUGAGAUGCACUCAGGGCCUAUUAGGCUAUACCUGGACACCAGUACCCCACUAUGAGCUGGGAAACACAGAUCUUUAAAUAUUGUGGAACAGAAAAGGCUUAUGCUCGGAACCACCUAGAGCAGACAAUGAAGUGAAAUGGAAUGGUUGCCUGGAGCUGGAGAUUCUGCCUUUCAAACAAGCUCCCAGUGAUAAUGAUGAUGUCCCUGGCCCAUGGACCACAUUUGGAGUAAAAUGGUUCAGGUUCUCUGCCCCUUGACAGCAUCCUUCACCGGCCUUCUGGAGCUGUGCCCAGUCCACCUACAUCAUAACAGAGAUUUGAUCGGCGGCAGCAGCAGAAUCCAACCAGUGGCCAGCUUGCUUUCACUCAUUCCCUGCAGAUAGAGAGCAUCUGCUGGAUGGUUCUCUGAAAUAAUUUAGCAUAUUUUUAAAAAGAAGUCAACAAUGUAGAAGCCAGGCAUGCUGACUGUGGGAAGAGGAAGCACAACAGGUAGUAAUGAAACAGAAUUUUUCUUCUAUCCAGCUUAACACAGAUGGUUGUCAUUCAACUGCCAUCUGAGCUGAGACUGUUUUAUUCUCACAAUGAAAAUCCGAGUAGGAAGUGAUCGCAUGUAUAUACUGACAAGGGAUGGCCUUCUCAAGGGGUAGCUUAAUGUUGUAUAAAGACCAUGGUUUGAUUUUCCCUUCCUUUUCAGAACUCAUGUUUCAGUUUUCACACUAUGCUAUUACCCUUCGGAUAGACAGUAAUUUGGGAAAAGGGCUUGGUAUUUCCCGGUAGUUGAGUGGUGUAAGAGCUGACUGGGAAUCAAACAAGUUGGCAGAGAUGGAGUUGAUGUGGGAAGGGUGUUAAAGGCCUAAGAAUUUGACAUUUUUUGUGUUGUUUCUUUUGGUUGUAGAACCUAAAUACAAAAUAAAGAGAUUGAAAUUCUAGGAUUUUGAAGUCAAAAGGGUCUCUAGAGAUCUCUAAGUCCUCUGAUUUUAUAGCUGAAUCACAGAGAUCCAGAGAGAAAAAGUGAGGGGCCCAAGACCACAGAGCUAUUCAGUGGCUGGGCCAGCUUGUCCCCAGUGCAGAUCAUAGGUCCCAGGUUACAUACAUAGGGA
This is a long non-coding RNA of Diceros bicornis minor, 1193 nucleotides long. RefSeq lists it as uncharacterized. Lineage: Eukaryota; Metazoa; Chordata; Mammalia; Perissodactyla; Rhinocerotidae. The transcript is spliced from 4 exons. The record is from RefSeq and is a predicted model, not a curated record.